Non-coding RNA from Paenibacillus sp., 34 nucleotides. NCBI's taxonomy places the organism in Bacteria, Bacillati, Bacillota, Bacilli, Caryophanales, Paenibacillaceae. The record is from Rfam.
CUCUGGAUUCGAAUGUGAUCCAGGGCGGAAAGAG